CUUCCCCUCCCCUCUCUCAUUUGCCCCAAGUCAUGUUCAUGCCUUAGUUUCACCUUGCUGUGACAAAUGUCUGGGAUCAGGUUUGUUUUGGAUUGUACUUUUGGAGGCCGUAUCCUGUGGUCAGCCUACUGCACUGCUUUAGGCUCUGUGGUAGUCCCUUGGGAGCCAGAAGCGAAAGUGGAAAGAGGAAGGGGUUGGAGUCCCACAGUCCUUUGUCAGGAAUGCCUGCAUGAACUGAAGAUGUUCGCCGAGGCCCCACCUUUGAAGGGGUCAUGCAUUGCAGGCUUGUCUCAAACUCUCUAUGCAAAUGAGGAUGACCUUGAACUUCUUAUUCUCCUUCCUUUGCUUCCCAACGCUGGGAUCCCAGGCUUCAGCAUGGCAAGAAGGUGUUGGCGGCAGUGGAAGGAUGGCCGAGCUUCUCCCAUGGUGGUGAAUCAGGAAGCAGAGAUCAAGGCUGGAACAUCAGCAGGGCUCUAACCUUCAAAGGGCUGCUGAGAUGACCUGAAGAGCUGAUUCAAACUCCAGAAUCUACAAGGUGGAAGUUGAAAAUCGACUCCCCAGAGUUGUCCUCUGGACUCCACACACACACACACACACACACACACACACACACACACACACACACACACCUAAUAAACACAUACUUGUUUUUUAAAAAAUGCAAUUUCAAUUUCUGUAGCGUCUGCUUUUCCUUGCCUUCUCAGCUCAGUGACUGGCGCUGUGCUGGUGGAGGCUGACUGAAACCCACCUUCCUCUCUCAUAUCAUCCCAAGUUCACACUCCCGCUGAUUUACUUAUGUUCUGUACCAAACAAGCUCAAAUAAUUUCCUUCAGGGCUUCAGGUUGAUUUUUCUCCUAGGUCUCUCCCUCCCUCCUUUCAUCGUUCUAUCCCUCUCUUCUUUCUCUCUCUUC
This 911-nucleotide long non-coding RNA is filed under the name Cricetulus griseus (Chinese hamster). Its description in RNAcentral is "lncRNA (ENSCGRG00015040507.1)". Lineage: Eukaryota; Metazoa; Chordata; Mammalia; Rodentia; Cricetidae. The record is from RNAcentral.